GAAUAGGUCUUUCUAAAGACCAAAGCAUGAAAAAUGUGGAAAAAAAU
Molecule: non-coding RNA, 47 nt
Organism: Calypte anna (Anna's hummingbird)
Lineage: Eukaryota; Metazoa; Chordata; Aves; Apodiformes; Trochilidae
Source: Rfam